Molecule: non-coding RNA, 130 nt
Organism: Xiphophorus couchianus (Monterrey platyfish)
Lineage: Eukaryota; Metazoa; Chordata; Actinopteri; Cyprinodontiformes; Poeciliidae
Source: Ensembl
ACGGAGGUAAAGAAAGUGAGGCAAAUGGAGUUUGUUGCCUUCACUGAAACUCGCCUCCAAAAUCAACUAGCAGAGAGAAUAUCCUUGGUUUGGAGUGAAAAACCUUGGAUAGCUGCAUUUGCUUACAAAA